This 1404-nucleotide long non-coding RNA is filed under the name Sinocyclocheilus grahami. Its description in RNAcentral is "lncRNA (ENSSGRG00000048095.1)". The record is from RNAcentral. Lineage: Eukaryota; Metazoa; Chordata; Actinopteri; Cypriniformes; Cyprinidae.
CUCGAGGCUGCAACAAUGUUUAUGAAUCUCCUUGCAAGCAUAUGGACCCUGCUGUUUUUGAUUCUGUCGGGCGCUCUUGCUGCUGACUGGAUAGUGCAUGUUCCCAUGGAUCCAGUCUAUACUCCUCUUGGUUCUUCUGUAGUUCUGCAGUGCACCUAUGACUACCCUGAGGAGUCCGACCAGGGAAUACUGCGCAAAGUGCUGUCAGAGAUGUGGUGUCUGAAUGAAAGCCGCUGCAUUACUCCAAGAUACGUGUACCACAGUGCAGGGAUAUUCCCUGAGCCCUCAUACCAGGGCCGAGUCAAGUACUUGGGGCAGACGGGGAGCAAAAAUUGCUCUCUGAUGAUUUCUGAUGUGAGGUCAGAAGACAGCGGCGUGUACAUGUUCCGGUUCAUCACCGACCAUCUGAAGGCCAAGCUACCAGGACAGAAAGGAGUGAAUCUACAGGUCACAAAUCAGACAGAAACAAGGAGUGCAUCUUCAUUCACUACUGGCAUUGUGCUUGGAAUUAUUAUCAUGGUUAUCAUAAUAGCAGGCAUUGUGAUAGUCAUCAGAAGGAAGUCACGGUAAGCAAAUCAUCUACUCAAUAAGUGUCUUGUCUGGCUUCAUUUCUGGUCUUAUAAACUAUGGGAAUAUGGCUUUGUUUUUCAGGGGAGAGAGGUCAAGACCACUUUAAACAAGUUAUUACCACAGAGGAUGAAAAAAACGUGUGACUCUGAUCAAAACAGAGAUGUAAACCAAUAGUUCUGCUUUUUUCUGGUUUGUGUGCUACAUUUUACAUUCAUUUAUGCAUUUUUUGCAUCCAUCACAGUCUAUUAUUUAUCUAUUUAAAUUAUUUUCUGCAUAUCAAACGGCACAAUGUUUCAUUCAUAUUUUAUUUCACCUUUAGUAUUAUCGUAUUGUAUCUUACAUUUUGCAAGUCACUGCUGCUGUGUUGCAUAUCAGGGUGAACACUGUCCUCAGCCACUGAACUAGAGACUGAACAACACGUUUUCUUCACAGAGUCUGUAAAAAGAGACAAUAAUGGUUAUGUUUAGAAAGUGAGUCAUUUAUUAUGCCAGCAGGAAAGAUACAGUGGAUUCUCACAUUGUAAAUCAUAGAAAAUUGCCUCUUGUUCUAUCCUCAAUUUUAAUUAAAAAAAGCACUUGGUAUUGUUUAUAAUCACCUCACAAAUGAAAAAACAUUCAUUAAGGGAACAGGUCACCCUAUAAAAAACAUGAUUAUCAAUCUGUUGUUAUUUACUCACCCUUGAAUCUGUAAAGAAUCUUCACACAGUUCCAGGUUGUUAAAAAACAACAACAAUGAAUUUCCCAUGUGGUCUCUGUAUUCUGAAAUGCCAAUAAUGCCAAAAAUAUGCAUAAAGCUAUUGUUUUUCUGUUUUUAUUUUUUGGUAUGAUGUGACCA